Centropristis striata (black sea bass) is the source of this 3060-nucleotide long non-coding RNA. RefSeq lists it as uncharacterized. The record is from RefSeq and is a predicted model, not a curated record. NCBI's taxonomy places the organism in Eukaryota, Metazoa, Chordata, Actinopteri, Perciformes, Serranidae. The transcript has 3 exons.
GAUUUUAUCAAAGUCAGCGUUACCCUGUAAUGUCAGUUUGUCUUGAAUUAACAUUGUUGUUUUUUUGUUGUUAUUUUUGUUGCAGAAAUUAAAUCGGUCAAAAUUACUGGUUGAUUUCACUUGGUGUUGCAAGCAUGCAUGCAGAUGUUUUCAGUUAUGUAGCAUUCUCCACUCCAGCUGCUGAGUGGACAAAGUUUUGUAUCCGUUUUUAUUUUAUUUACUUUUCUUUUACCAGGAAAUGUGUCCCUUUAUUUAGCUUUGUGAUCUGAUCAGAUGUCCAGGGCAUUAUGUGAUCCCCCAUUGAUUUGUUGUCAUGAAAAUUCAGCAUUCUUAACACAAAACAAGACAAACCAAGUAGAGUUCACAUUGACCAUGCAGACAAACAGGGUCAUACUUUAUAUCAAACACAAGUCAAGAGAAGCAGAAACAUUGCUAGGGUUAAAUUUUUGUCUUAACUCAAGAGAGGCCUGAGGCUUAUUGCACCUAUGAGGAGCAACAUGGGUAAAAGCCAUGUUUCCAAGUCUAAAAAGCUAUGGUAAAGAAAAAUAUUAUCACACCUAACCAAUGCAGGACUUUUGUGUCAGUCAAGCAUGGCUGCCUGAUUAUUACCACAAUCUUUGCUAACUCGAUCACAAUUCUGUCCCAACAUUUUAGACCCCUGUCAUCCAUCGGUGAAGAAAUAAAUUAAAUCAUCCUCAAGACUUUUCCCAAAAUGUCAAAGAAUACUCGGCAAAAGAUUGCCUCUGCACUUGAAAGAGCAGGUGUGAAAACGAUAUUAGACCUCCGGGAUGUGGAGAGGGACGACAUCAAAGACCUCUUGCCUGGGGGGCAUUUACAAAGUUUGCUGAUGACAACAUCACCAUUGGACGUUGGAUGAUCAUCUGUGAAGGCGUCUAGCCAAGCUUCAUCACAGGGCUCGCUGCAGUUUUCGCCACCUACUACGUGUUCAACCUGCAGUACCAAGAGGAAGCUGCAAAGACACUGGAGUUUGUUCAAAGGCACUUAAUUCGUAACCGAAACAGUGGAACAAAGGCCAGCCAGGGGGUGGUGGUGGCCAAGAAGUCAGGGAAGCUGGCCCAGAAAAAGGCUGCCAUCAUGAAUCCCCAAGUGGCUUCCCUCAUAAAAAAUCUCCACAACUUUGACUGAGGCUUAUGUAAACCUCCACACAGGACCUCAUGUUCACAGAGGAAGAGCCCACACUACAACCACAUGUUUAUGCUUUAAGUCUCAGCAUUUGUUCUGUUUGUCUCUGUGGUGCAUUUUACUAUUACUCAUUUAAUUAUUUGUUUUUCAUUCAAUCAAUGUGUAAGUUACUGAAUGUGAUUGAUGCAGUGGCUUUCCUGAAUCUUCUGUUAGAGAAAAGGGAAGUGAGUUCAGGUACCAUAGACUAGGACGAGGUUUUGAUAGCCGGGCAUCACAAGACUCAUUUGCAAAUGUGUAUUACUAUUAUUGUUUUGAAGGUUUUUACUUUGCUGUUAGUGUGUGAGUUGUGGAUUCUGGAUGUGUUUGAUACUACAUUCCCUUCUAAUAAAGGCCAAAAUAAUGUUGUAAGGCCAUCUCGUGACCAAGUCAUUUCUAUCGUCGCAAUUUUCAAGGGUUUUCAUUUUGAAAUGUCAAAUUUUCAUAUAAUUUUACAGUGUAACGAUAAAGAUCACAUUCAAUACUUUAAUGCAUUUACAGUAUGGUGCGCCGUCCACUUUCCAGAAUGUUUACUUUAUAAAUUCUCUUUGAGACGGCAUGCUACACUAUGACUUGUUUUUACAUUUUGGGCAACAUACUAUGAUAUGACUUUUUUAUGCUAUUUUUAAUGCUACACUAUUCUGCCCUACAAAGUCUAACAAAGAAAACUGCUUUAAAGUUUUUUAACGUUUUUUUAACUGGCCAGCCAAAUGGGUUAUAGGUAGACAAGUGAUAUGACACUUAUUUCUACAUGUAUUGAUGAUGUCAUUUUUAUGCUCAAAAAUCAUGAUGAUUUAUUUGACCUUUGACCCCAAAAACGUAGUUACUGCAUUGCUGUAAAAGAUUCUAAUAGUAAUCACAAACAAAGUGCAGUAACAACAAUGUUGUUGUCUUCUUUCAGCUUUUAUAUUUUGUUUUCAGUGAAUAAACAUUUUCAAAUUGAUUUUGUUAUCAGUGUAUUUAAAAGUGUUUAACAACUCUAUUCAAAGUUUUGACAGAUUAGAUUUGCGUAUUUUAGACUCAUUAUGAAGUAAUGUUAUAUUUUAGUCUUAAUAUAAUUUUAUCUCACUUUUUUACUUUAUCACUGUCUAGAUCAUGGGUCUCAAACUUGCGGCCCGCGGGCCAAUUGCGGCCCUUGUGACGAUAUUUUGUGGCCCUCACCUUGAUAUGAAAGUUUAAUGUUAAUUGUUUUUAAUGUUUUAUAUGAAUGGCACUUUAAUGUGUUGGGUGUGGAAGGUCCCUUUAAUUACUUUUUUUGGUAAUUUUGUGUCUUUUUUUAAGUAAUUUAGUUUUUUGUGUAAUUUUGUGUCUUUUUCUGUCAUUAUGUGUCUUUUUUUAAAUAAUUGUGUCUUUUUUCAUAAUUCUGUGUAUUUUUUUGUCAUUUUGUGUCUUUUUUGUCAUUUUGUGUCUUUUUUAAGUAAUUUAGUGUUUUUUCAGUCAUUUUGUGUCUUUUUUGUAUGUUUGUGUCUUUUUUAGUAAUUGUGUGUCUCAUAUCAUUUAACAGUGUAAUGAUAAAGAUCACAUUCAAUACUUUAAUGCAUUUACAGUAUGGUGCGCCGUCCACUUUCCAGAAUGUUUACUUUAUAAAUUGUCUUUGAGACGGCAUGCUACACUAUGUGUACAUUUUGUUUCACAUUUUGGGCAACAUACUAUAAUGUGACUUUUUUAUGCUAUUUUUAAUGCUACUCUAUUCUGCCCUACAAAGUCUAACUGCAGUAACUAUGCAAAAGGUAAAAUUGAGGAAAACUGCUUUAAAGGUUUUUAACGUUUUUUUAACUGGCCAGCCAAUUGGGUUAUAGGUAGAUAAGUGAUAUGACACUUAUUUCUACAAGUAUUGAUGAUGUCAUUUUUAUGCUCAAAAAUGAAGAUUUAUUUGGCAUU